AGAGAAAGGAAAGCGCGAGGAGCCGCCGCCACCACCAGCGCAGCAGUCCUGGAGCUGUGAGGAGAUUCGGGCCGUCACCCUGCCUCCCCUGCGUCCCGCCACCGGCCGCUUCCGUCCUCGGACCCAUUCCAACAAUCUCGUAAAACAUGGUGGAUUACUAUGAAGUUCUAGGCGUGCAGAGACAUGCCUCACCCGAGGAUAUUAAAAAGGCAUAUCGGAAACUGGCACUGAAGUGGCAUCCAGAUAAAAAUCCUGAGAAUAAAGAAGAAGCAGAGAGAAAAUUCAAGCAAGUAGCGGAGGCAUAUGAAGUGCUGUCGGAUGCUAAGAAACGGGACAUCUAUGACAAAUAUGGCAAAGAAGGAUUAAAUGGUGGAGGAGGAGGUGGAAGUCAUUUUGACAGUCCAUUUGAAUUUGGCUUCACAUUCCGUAACCCAGAUGAUGUCUUCAGGGAAUUUUUUGGUGGAAGGGACCCAUUUUCAUUUGACUUCUUUGUUGUUUUUGUCUUUUGACUUAUUGAAAGGGAAACACAUUGUAUGUUUACCUCCUUCAUU
RNAcentral lists this small RNA (551 nucleotides) under Pan troglodytes (chimpanzee). RNAcentral's name for it is "processed transcript". The record is from RNAcentral. Lineage: Eukaryota; Metazoa; Chordata; Mammalia; Primates; Hominidae.